CCUACGGGCGGCUGCAGUCGAGAAUCAUUCACAAUGGGGGAAACCCUGAUGGUGCGACGCCGCGUGGAGGAUAAGGUCUUCGGAUUGUAAACUCCUGUCAUGUGAGAGUAAGGGUUUGCAGGUAACUCUGUAAAUUUUGAUAGUAUCACAAGAGGAAGAGACGGCUAACUCUGUGCCAGCAGCCGCGGUAAUACAGAGGUCUCAAGCGUUGUUCGGAAUCACUGGGCGUAAAGGGUGCGUAGGCGGCGUGGAAAGUCAGAUGUGAAAUCCGGGGGCUCAACCUCCGAAUUGCAUCCGAUACUACCAUGCUAGAGAACUGGAGGGGAGUCUGGAAUUCUUGGUGUAGCAGUGAAAUGCAUAGAUAUCAAGAGGAACACUAGUGGCGAAGGCGAGACUCUGGACAGUAUCUGACGCUCAUGCACGAAGGUCAGGGUAGCGAACGGGAUUAGAUACCCCGGUAGUC
Molecule: ribosomal RNA, 463 nt
Filed under: uncultured bacterium
Lineage: Bacteria
Description: bacterial SSU rRNA
Rfam family: Bacterial small subunit ribosomal RNA
Source: RNAcentral